AUUGAACGCUGGCGGCAGGCUUAACACAUGCAAGUCGAGCGAGCGGCGGACGGGUGAGUCAUGUCUGGGAAACUGCCUGAUGGAGGGGGAUAACUACUGGAAACGGUAGCUAAUACCGCAUACCAUCAGAUGUGCCAAGAGGGGAUUAGCUAGUAGGUGGGGUAAUGGCUCACCGAGGCGACGAUCCCUAGCUGGUCUGAGAGGAUGACCGGCCACACUGGAACUGAGACACGGUCCAGACUCCUACGGGAGGCAGCAGUGGGGAAUAUUGCGCAAUGGGCGAAAGCCUGACGCAGCCAUGCCGCGUGUGUGAAGAAGGCCUUCGGGUUGUAAAGCACUUUCAGCGGGGAGGCGUUACUCGCAGAGGAAGCACCGGCUAACUCCGUGCCAGCAGCCGCGGUAAUAC
This 406-nucleotide ribosomal RNA is filed under the name uncultured bacterium. RNAcentral's name for it is "partial 16S ribosomal RNA". It matches the Rfam family "Bacterial small subunit ribosomal RNA", at positions 29 to 526 of the family's 1533-position model. The record is from RNAcentral.